This 2851-nucleotide ribosomal RNA is filed under the name Salmonella enterica subsp. enterica serovar Enteritidis. RNAcentral describes it as "partial 23S ribosomal RNA". It matches the Rfam family "Bacterial large subunit ribosomal RNA". The record is from RNAcentral. Lineage: Bacteria; Pseudomonadati; Pseudomonadota; Gammaproteobacteria; Enterobacterales; Enterobacteriaceae.
CUGCGAUAAGCGCCGGUAAGGUGAUAUGAACCGUUAUAACCGGCGAUACCCGAAUGGGGAAACCCAGUGUGAUUCGUCACACUAUCAUUAACUGAAUCCAUAGGUUAAUGAGGCGAACCGGGGGAACUGAAACAUCUAAGUACCCCGAGGAAAAGAAAUCAACCGAGAUUCCCCCAGUAGCGGCGAGCGAACGGGGAGGAGCCCAGAGCCUGAAUCAGCAUGUGUGUUAGUGGAAGCGUCUGGAAAGGCGCGCGAUACAGGGUGACAGCCCCGUACACAAAAGCGCAUGUGCUGUGAGCUCGAUGAGUAGGGCGGGACACGUGGUAUCCUGUCUGAAUAUGGGGGGACCAUCCUCCAAGGCUAAAUACUCCUGACUGACCGAUAGUGAACCAGUACCGUGAGGGAAAGGCGAAAAGAACCCCGGCGAGGGGAGUGAAAAAGAACCUGAAACCGUGUACGUACAAGCAGUGGGAGCCCCACCACCAAAGCAUUUGCUGUACCGCGUUGACGGAGCGAAGCGACGUCAAACCGAUAAAACAGCAGUGUAAAGUGAGCCGCAGGGCGCUUUGCGCGACAGCGCAAAGGCAGGCGGUUUCGCGUAGCGAAAGCGAAUGCUUUGGGGUGGGGUGACUGCGUACCUUUUGUAUAAUGGGUCAGCGACUUAUAUUCUGUAGCAAGGUUAACCGAAUAGGGGAGCCGGAGGGAAACCGAGUCUUAAUUGGGCGUUAAGUUGCAGGGUAUAGACCCGAAACCCGGUGAUCUAGCCAUGGGCAGGUUGAAGGUUGGGUAACACUAACUGGAGGACCGAACCGACUAAUGUUGAAAAAUUAGCGGAUGACCUGUGGCUGGGGGUGAAAGGCCAAUCAAACCGGGAGAUAGCUGGUUCUCCCCGAAAGCUAUUUAGGUAGCGCCUCGUGAAUUCAUCUCCGGGGGUAGAGCACUGUUUCGGCUAGGGGGCCAUCCCGGCUUACCAACCCGAUGCAAACUGCGAAUACCGGAGAAUGUUAUCACGGGAGACACACGGCGGGUGCUAACGUCCGUCGUGAAGAGGGAAACAACCCAGACCGCCAGCUAAGGUCCCAAAGUCAUGGUUAAGUGGGAAACGAUGUGGGAAGGCCCAGACAGCCAGGAUGUUGGCUUAGAAGCAGCCAUCAUUUAAAGAAAGCGUAAUAGCUCACUGGUCGAGUCGGCCUGCGCGGAAGAUGUAACGGGGCUAAACCAUGCACCGAAGCUGCGGCAGCGACACUGUGUGUUGUUGGGUAGGGGAGCGUUCUGUAAGCCUGUGAAGGUGUGUCGUGAGGCAUGCUGGAGGUAUCAGAAGUGCGAAUGCUGACAUAAGUAACGAUAAAGCGGGUGAAAAGCCCGCUCGCCGGAAGACCAAGGGUUCCUGUCCAACGUUAAUCGGGGCAGGGUGAGUCGACCCCUAAGGCGAGGCCGAAAGGCGUAGUCGAUGGGAAACGGGUUAAUAUUCCCGUACUUGGUGUUACUGCGAAGGGGGGACGGAGAAGGCUAUGUUGGCCGGGCGACGGUUGUCCCGGUUUAAGCGUGUAGGUGUGUGUUCCAGGUAAAUCCGGUUCACUUUAACACUGAGGCGUGACGACGAGGCACUACGGUGCUGAAGCAACAAAUGCCCUGCUUCCAGGAAAAGCCUCUAAGCAUCAGGUAACAUCAAAUCGUACCCCAAACCGACACAGGUGGUCAGGUAGAGAAUACCAAGGCGCUUGAGAGAACUCGGGUGAAGGAACUAGGCAAAAUGGUGCCGUAACUUCGGGAGAAGGCACGCUGACACGUAGGUGAAGUGAUUUACUCAUGGAGCUGAAGUCAGUCGAAGAUACCAGCUGGCUGCAACUGUUUAUUAAAAACACAGCACUGUGCAAACACGAAAGUGGACGUAUACGGUGUGACGCCUGCCCGGUGCCGGAAGGUUAAUUGAUGGGGUCAGCGCAAGCGAAGCUCCUGAUCGAAGCCCCGGUAAACGGCGGCCGUAACUAUAACGGUCCUAAGGUAGCGAAAUUCCUUGUCGGGUAAGUUCCGACCUGCACGAAUGGCGUAAUGAUGGCCAGGCUGUCUCCACCCGAGACUCAGUGAAAUUGAACUCGCUGUGAAGAUGCAGUGUACCCGCGGCAAGACGGAAAGACCCCGUGAACCUUUACUAUAGCUUGACACUGAACAUUGAGCCUUGAUGUGUAGGAUAGGUGGGAGGCUUUGAAGUGUGGACGCCAGUCUGCAUGGAGCCGACCUUGAAAUACCACCCUUUAAUGUUUGAUGUUCUAACGUGGACCCGUUACCCGGGUUGCGGACAGUGUCUGGUGGGUAGUUUGACUGGGGCGGUCUCCUCCUAAAGAGUAACGGAGGAGCACGAAGGUUGGCUAAUCCUGGUCGGACAUCAGGAGGUUAGUGCAAUGGCAUAAGCCAGCUUGACUGCGAGCGUGACGGCGCGAGCAGGUGCGAAAGCAGGUCAUAGUGAUCCGGUGGUUCUGAAUGGAAGGGCCAUCGCUCAACGGAUAAAAGGUACUCCGGGGAUAACAGGCUGAUACCGCCCAAGAGUUCAUAUCGACGGCGGUGUUUGGCACCUCGAUGUCGGCUCAUCACAUCCUGGGGCUGAAGUAGGUCCCAAGGGUAUGGCUGUUCGCCAUUUAAAGUGGUACGCGAGCUGGGUUUAGAACGUCGUGAGACAGUUCGGUCCCUAUCUGCCGUGGGCGCUGGAGAACUGAGGGGGGCUGCUCCUAGUACGAGAGGACCGGAGUGGACGCAUCACUGGUGUUCGGGUUGUCAUGCCAAUGGCACUGCCCGGUAGCUAAAUGCGGAAGAGAUAAGUGCUGAAAGCAUCUAAGCACGAAACUUGCCCCGA